This 74-nucleotide transfer RNA is filed under the name Vicugna pacos (alpaca). RNAcentral's name for it is "tRNA-Ala (AGC) (tRNA-Ala-AGC-270-1)". It matches the Rfam family "tRNA". From Rfam's summary of the family: Transfer RNA (tRNA) molecules are approximately 80 nucleotides in length. The record is from RNAcentral. Lineage: Eukaryota; Metazoa; Chordata; Mammalia; Artiodactyla; Camelidae.
GGAGGGGUAUAGCUCAGUGGUAGAGCGCAUGCUUAGCAUGCAUGAGGUCCUGGGUUCAAUCCCCAGUACCUCCU